UUGGGUUAAGUCCCGCAACGAGCGUCAACCCUUGUCUUUAGUUGCCAUCAUUAAGUUGGGCACUCUAAAGAGACUGCCGAUGCAAAUCGGAGGAAGGUGGGGAUGACGUCAAAUCAUCAUGCCCUUUAUGUCCUGGGCUACACACGUGCUACAAUGGUCGGUACAACGAGAAGCAAGCCAGCGAUGGCAAGCAAAUCUCUAAAAGCCGAUCCCAGUUCGGAUUGCAGGCUGCAACUCGCCUGCAUGAAGUCGGAGUUGCUAGUAAUCGCGGAUCAGAAUGCCGCGGUGAAUGCGUUCCCGGGUCUU
This 306-nucleotide ribosomal RNA is filed under the name uncultured Eubacteriales bacterium. RNAcentral describes it as "bacterial SSU rRNA". It matches the Rfam family "Bacterial small subunit ribosomal RNA", at positions 1075 to 1382 of the family's 1533-position model. The record is from RNAcentral. Lineage: Bacteria; Bacillati; Bacillota; Clostridia; Eubacteriales.